CGCAUUACCAAGGGGUGCCCCCGUAUUUAACGGUGUGGCUGAGAUGCUAUGAGCGAACCCUUUGCACCUGAUCCGGUUAAUACUGGCGUAGGAAUGGUAACGAACUUAGUU
RNAcentral lists this non-coding RNA (111 nucleotides) under Idiomarina sp. Its description in RNAcentral is "TPP sequence". It matches the Rfam family "TPP riboswitch aptamer (THI element)". From Rfam's summary of the family: Vitamin B(1) in its active form thiamin pyrophosphate (TPP) is an essential coenzyme that is synthesised by coupling of pyrimidine and thiazole moieties in bacteria. The previously detected thiamin-regulatory element, thi box was extended, resulting in a new, highly conserved RNA secondary structure, the THI element, which is widely distributed in eubacteria and also occurs in some archaea. Lineage: Bacteria; Pseudomonadati; Pseudomonadota; Gammaproteobacteria; Alteromonadales; Idiomarinaceae. The record is from RNAcentral.